Molecule: non-coding RNA, 30 nt
Filed under: Mus musculus (house mouse)
Lineage: Eukaryota; Metazoa; Chordata; Mammalia; Rodentia; Muridae
Source: RNAcentral
UCNCCAGCAGCCCUGGCUGGGUGUCCACCU